UUCAUAACCCUUUGUUGUCCGACUCUGUUGCCUCCGGGGCGACCCUGCCUUCGGGCGGGGGCUCCGGGUGGACACUUCAAACUCUUGCGUAACUUUGCAGUCUGAGUAAACUUAAUUAAUAAAUUAAAACUUUUAACAACGGAUCUCUUGGUUCUGGCAUCGAUGAAGAACGCAGCGAAAUGCGAUAAGUAAUGUGAAUUGCAGAAUUCAGUGAAUCAUCGAAUCUUUGAACGCACAUUGCGCCCCCUGGUAUUCCGGGGGGCAUGCCUGUUCGAGCGUCAUUUCACCACUCAAGCCUCGCUUGGUAUUGGGCAUCGCGGUCCGCCGCGUGCCUCAAAUCGACCGGCUGGGUCUUCUGUCCCCUAAGCGUUGUGGAAACUAUUCGCUAAAGGGUGUUCGGGAGGCUACGCCGUAAAACAACCCCAUUUCUAAGGUUGACCUCGGAUCAGGUAGGGAUACCCGCUGAACUUAAGCAUAUC
RNAcentral lists this ribosomal RNA (479 nucleotides) under Cladosporium sp. SL0006. RNAcentral describes it as "eukaryotic LSU rRNA". The stretch from base 128 to 281 matches the Rfam family "5.8S ribosomal RNA". The record is from RNAcentral. Lineage: Eukaryota; Fungi; Ascomycota; Dothideomycetes; Cladosporiales; Cladosporiaceae.